This 367-nucleotide non-coding RNA is filed under the name Solanum tuberosum (potato). RNAcentral's name for it is "Eukaryotic small subunit ribosomal RNA". It matches the Rfam family "Eukaryotic small subunit ribosomal RNA", at positions 57 to 348 of the family's 1831-position model. The record is from Rfam by way of RNAcentral. Lineage: Eukaryota; Viridiplantae; Streptophyta; Magnoliopsida; Solanales; Solanaceae.
GUGUAAGUAUAAACAAAUUAAAACUGUGAAACUACGAAUGGCUCAUUCAAUCAGUUAUAGUUUGUUUGAUAGUAUCUAACUACUCGGAUAACCAUAGUAAUUCUUGAGCUAAUACGUAGAACAAACCACGACAUGUGUAAGGGAUGCAUUUAUUAGAUAAAAGGUCGACGUGGGCUCUGCCAAUUAUUGUGAAGAUUCGUGAUAACUCGACGGAUCGUAUGGCCAUCGUGCCGGCGAUGCAUCAUUCACAAUUCUACCCUAUCAACCUGAAAUCCAAUCAUUUCUAACUUUUCAAAUAUGAAGUUUAUCGAUUGCUUACAUCCUUGGAAUGAUAAAAACCACCAAGUGUUGAAAUAUAAGUACGGAG